Molecule: long non-coding RNA, 458 nt
Organism: Bos taurus (domestic cattle)
Lineage: Eukaryota; Metazoa; Chordata; Mammalia; Artiodactyla; Bovidae
Source: Ensembl
GCUGAAAGAAACUUGAAAGAUUUUAUCAAGGCUCACCUUCUAUUACUAUAGGUGCAUAUUUGACUAGUUAGUGCUCCUCUGAUCCAGUGUUUGGAAAACAAACUCUUCCUGAUUUCCACUGUCCAGUCAGUCCUAAAGAAAUCAGCCCUGAAUAUUCACUGGAAGGACUGAUGUUGAAGCUGAAGUUCCAAUAAUUUGGCCACCUGAUGUGAAGAGCUGACUCACUGGAAAAGACCUUGAUGCUCAGAAAAAUGAAGGCAGGAGGAGAAGGGGACGACAGAGGAUGAGAUGGUUGUAUGCUCUGAAGGCCUCCGAGGGCUCUUUAUGCCCCGUUUAUCCGUGGUAUCGCCACUCUCCAGAAUACAUCCUGGCCCAUCUCAGGCACUUCCCUGAAUUCUCCGUAUACAGAAAGGAUGCAACGUUCCCUGUUAAGCAGAAAUAUCCUGUUUCCUGCCGCU